Paramuricea clavata is the source of this 491-nucleotide non-coding RNA. Lineage: Eukaryota; Metazoa; Cnidaria; Anthozoa; Malacalcyonacea; Plexauridae. The record is from the annotation of a GenBank genome assembly.
AAUCAAGACCCAGAUUACGACUUAGAGUUCUAAAUUUGAUUACAUUUUCCCAAAAUGUCCGCUUUUUUCCUCUUUGAGUACUUUUGAAAGAGUGAAAUAAUUGCUAACUUCAAGACAUGUUUUUCUUCUAAAUUCUGAAGCAAGCUCGUAUAACACUCUAGCCAACAAUAAAUUUUUUACCUUAAAUUAAAGAACAAAAAAUAAAAUUUUCAAUUAUUUCUAAGAUUCGAUCACUUGUAAACCGUAAUCCUUCAACUAUUUCGCCCUAUACAACAAACAUUUUAAAACUGGAAAUCGCGAACGAAUUAAAAAUGAAUCAGUAAUAAUUCGAUGGAUAAGAGGGCGUCUUCCACCCAUGCAUCGUUCAAAAUUCACGAUUUUUAAAGUGUACAAAAUAAUGUACACAACAGCUAUUUAAUCAUUUUAAGGAACGUCGAUACGAUAGCGUAAUAUGAGCUGUGUAUUUUUCAAUUAAGUCUGACUUACGUGGC